CGACUAGUUGCAUGCUGUAGACCCGAAACCGGGUGACCUAUCCAUGGCCAGGUUGAAGCGAGGGUAAAACCUCGUGGAGGACCGAACCACGUUGCUGUUGAAAAAGCAUGGGAUGAGCUGUGGAUAGCGGAGAAAUUCCAAUCGAACUCGGAUAUAGCUGGUUCUCCUCGAAAUAGCUUUAGGGCUAGCGUCGGAAAAUGUGAGUAGUGGAGGUAGAGCACUGAAUAGGCUAGGGGGCAUAGCGCUUACCGAACCUUAUCAAACUCCGAAUGCCACAUACUAUCAGUCCGGCAGUCAGACUAUGAAAGAUAAGUUCCAUGGUCAAAAGGGAAACAGCCCAGAUCGUCAGCUAAGGUCCCAAAGUGUAAGUUAAGUGGAAAAGGAUGUGGGAUUUCUAAGACAACUAGGAUGUUGGCUUAGAAGCAGCCACUCAUUAAAAGAGUGCGUAAUAGCUCACUAGUCAAGAGAUUCUGCGCCGAAAAUGUCCGGGGCUCAAACUUACCACCGAAGCUACGGGUUCACGUGUAUAACGUGAGCGGUAGAGGAGCGUCGUAAUCAGGCUGAAGUCGUACCGUAAGGAGCGGUGGACUGAUUACGAGUGAGAAUGUUGGCAUUAGUAGCGAGAUGUAGGCGAGAAUCCUACAGGCCGAAUAUCUAAGGUUUCCUGAGUAAAGUUUGUCUUCUCAGGGUUAGUCGGGACCUAAGGCGAGGCCGAAAGGCGUAGUCGAUGGACAAUUGGUUGAUAUUCCAAUACCACUAUAAUCGUUAUUAUCGAUGGUGUGACGGAGAAGGAUAGGAUGUGCUAGCUAUUGGAUGCUAGUCUAAGCGUUUAGGGAGUUGGGAUUGGCAAAUCCGUUCCAACAAUUCUGAGGCGUGAUGGGGAAGGUUCUACGGAACCGAAGUAUCUGAUUCCAUGCUUCCAAGAAAAGCAUCUAGAGAGAGAAGUAGUGCCCGUACCGCAAACCGACACAGGUAGAUGAGGAGAGAAUCCUAAGGCCGACGGAAUAAUUGCAGUUAAGGAACUAGGCAAAUUGACCCCGUAACUUCGGGAGAAGGGGUGCCUGAGAAAUCAGGCCGCAGAGAAUAGGCACAAGCAACUGUUUAACAAAAACACAGGUCUCUGCUAAAGCGAAAGCUGAUGUAUAGGGGCUGACGCCUGCCCGGUGCUGGAAGGUUAAGGGGAACACUUAGCGAAAUAUCGCGAAGGUGUGAACUUAAGCCCCAGUAAACGGCGGCCGUAACUAUAACGGUCCUAAGGUAGCGAAAUUCCUUGUCAGGUAAGUUCUGACCCGCACGAAUGGCGUAAUGACUUGUGCACUGUCUCAACUGCAAAUCCGGCGAAGUUGUAGUGCGAGUGAAGAUGCUCGCUACCCGCGAUUGGACGGAAAGACCCCGUAGAGCUUUACUGUAGCUUAGCAUUGAAUUUCGGUAUUGUCUGUACAGGAUAGGUGGGAGACUGGGAAACUAGGGCGUCAGCCUUGGUGGAGUCGUUGUUGGGAUACCACCCUGAUAGUAUUGAAGUUCUAACUGGAUGCCAUGAAACUGGUGACAGGACAUUGUUAGGUGGGCAGUUUGACUGGGGCGGUCGCCUCCUAAAAUGUAACGGAGGCGCCCAAAGGUUCCCUCAGAACGGUCGGAAAUCGUUCGAAGAGUGUAAAGGCAGAAGGGAGCCUGACUGCGACACCUACAAGUGGAGCAGGGACGAAAGUCGGGCUUAGUGAUCCGAUGGUACCUCGUGGGAGGGCCAUCGCUCAACGGAUAAAAGCUACCUCGGGGAUAACAGGCUGAUCUCCCCCAAGAGUUCACAUCGACGGGGAGGUUUGGCACCUCGAUGUCGGCUCGUCGCAUCCUGGGGCUGAAGUAGGUCCCAAGGGUUGGGCUGUUCGCCCAUUAAAGCGGCACGCGAGCUGGGUUCAGAACGUCGUGAGACAGUUCGGUCCCUAUCCGUCGCGGGCGUAGGAAAUUUGAGAGGAGCUGUCCUUAGUACGAGAGGACCGGGAUGGACUGACCUAUGGUGUACCAGUUGUUUCGCCAGAAGCAUAGCUGGGUAGCUAAGUCGGGAAGGGAUAAACGCUGAAAGCAUCUAAGUGUGAAGCCCACCUCAAGAUGAGAUUUCCCAUAGCAUAAGCUAGUAAGACCCCUUGAAGACUACGAGGUUGAUAGGUCAGAGGUGUAAGUGCGGCAACGUAUUUAGCUGACUGAUACUAAUAGGUCGAGGGCUUGACCAA
This 2228-nucleotide ribosomal RNA is filed under the name Clostridium beijerinckii. RNAcentral's name for it is "partial 23S ribosomal RNA". It matches the Rfam family "Bacterial large subunit ribosomal RNA", at positions 693 to 2925 of the family's 2925-position model. The record is from RNAcentral. Lineage: Bacteria; Bacillati; Bacillota; Clostridia; Eubacteriales; Clostridiaceae.